RNAcentral lists this ribosomal RNA (244 nucleotides) under uncultured bacterium. RNAcentral's name for it is "partial small subunit ribosomal RNA". It matches the Rfam family "Bacterial small subunit ribosomal RNA", at positions 26 to 285 of the family's 1533-position model. The record is from RNAcentral.
AGAAUCAACGCUGGCGGCGUGCCUAACACAUGCAAGUCGAACGAGAAAGUGGAGCAAUCCAUGAGUAAAGUGGCGCACGGGUGAGUAACACGUGACUAACCUACCUUUUAGUGGGGGAUAACCUAGGGAAACCUGGGCUAAUACCGCAUAACACUUACGAGUCAAAGCAGCAAUGCGCUGAAAGAGGGGUCGCGGCCGAUUAGCUAGUUGGCGGGGUAAUGGCCCAUCAAGGCAGUGAUCGGUA